This 217-nucleotide ribosomal RNA is filed under the name Trichoprosopon digitatum. RNAcentral's name for it is "partial 16S ribosomal RNA". Lineage: Eukaryota; Metazoa; Arthropoda; Insecta; Diptera; Culicidae. The record is from RNAcentral.
GAUCUUUAUUUUUAUUUUUUAUAAAUUAAAAAGAAUAAAAAUUUUUAUAAAUAGAUUAAAAAUUUUACUGGGGUGGUAUUAAAAUUUAAUAAACUUUUAAAAUUAUUUUACAUAAAUAUAUGAAUAAUUGAUCCAAUUUUAUUGAUUAAAAAAUUAAGUUACCUUAGGGAUAACAGCGUAAUUUUUUUUUAGAGUUCAUAUCGACAAAAAAGAUUGC